UACGUAGGGGGCAAGCGUUGUCCGGAUUUACUGGGCGUAAAGAGCGCGCAGGCGGUCGGAUAAGUCGAAUGUGAAAGCCCCCGGCUCAACUGGGGAGGGUCAUUCGAUACUGUUCGACUCGAAGGCAGGAGAGGGAAGUGGAAUUCCCGGUGUAGUGGUGAAAUGCGUAGAUAUCGGGAGGAACACCAGUGGCGAAGGCGACUACCUGGCCUGUUCUUGACGCUGAGGCGCGAAAGCUAGGGGAGCAAACGGG
This 253-nucleotide ribosomal RNA is filed under the name uncultured bacterium. Its description in RNAcentral is "partial 16S ribosomal RNA". It matches the Rfam family "Bacterial small subunit ribosomal RNA", at positions 524 to 776 of the family's 1533-position model. The record is from RNAcentral.